Molecule: unclassified non-coding RNA, 348 nt
Filed under: Athalia rosae (coleseed sawfly)
Lineage: Eukaryota; Metazoa; Arthropoda; Insecta; Hymenoptera; Athaliidae
Description: misc RNA ENSAEAG00005003606.1
Source: RNAcentral
GAAACUUCAGGAAUAGAAAGGGUUCUCGCAGAUAGUCUUGAUCUAGUUGGCAGUACUAGAGAACAUUCAGAAUCUUGCUGCACGAAACCACCAGAGGUAGGGCAUGAUGCUGGUUACUUCGGACGACUCCAGCCUCUGAAAUCGAAUAGGGAUAAUAUAGAAUCGGUGGCGGACCUCGAUGGGAGUGAUUUAUUUUACAUCGGCGAUGGCGUCCGACUGCCACUGACUAUAAAGAAGUUGAAAGACGGUUCGUUCGCUCUGAGUAUAUCUGAUAGUUUUUGUCAGCAACGACUGGCCAGGAAGGAAUGCCCCUGCUGUGUUCCAAGGGAGGGAAAUAUUCUUCAAGAA